Long non-coding RNA from Artibeus jamaicensis (Jamaican fruit-eating bat), 458 nucleotides. RefSeq lists it as uncharacterized. The transcript is spliced from 3 exons. NCBI's taxonomy places the organism in Eukaryota, Metazoa, Chordata, Mammalia, Chiroptera, Phyllostomidae. The record is from RefSeq and is a predicted model, not a curated record.
CUUCCUGUGUUGAGGGUGGUAACAGGCAGCGGCGGUCUUAGCUGGAAAAAUAAGUUGGUGACCCAGUGCCAGUCUCCAGGAUUUUUUUUGCAGUCCAACAUCUAUCUACUUCAUCCAACAGAGAGACAUCUGAACUUUUGGGAAGUCUAUAUUCAAGCCGGGAGAGGAGCUCCUACUAGGAAACUCUGAUACACUCCACGGAGAGAAGACUUGAAUACCUCCGGUGGACUGUUUCAGUCGCUUAUCUCCUCCCACACCUGGGACAGGUGUGCAUUUAGCUCUGUGAGGAAGAGCACAGAGUUUUCCUGCGGGGACACUCACGUCAUCAAGGUUGGAGGCAAUAAGAACAGUCCAAGGUUCUAGUCCCUUCUUGUGGAUUCCAGUUCAUCCUUGGGGGUCCGAGCUCCUCGUCUCUUCCCUACAGCACACCCAUCCGCCCUUCCAGAACACCCACCCUG